GGGCGGGUAGCUUAGUUGGUGGAGCACACGACUGAUAAUCGUGCGGUCAUGAGUUCAAAUCUCAUCCUGCCCA
This 73-nucleotide transfer RNA is filed under the name archaeon. Its description in RNAcentral is "tRNA-Ile". It matches the Rfam family "tRNA". From Rfam's summary of the family: Transfer RNA (tRNA) molecules are approximately 80 nucleotides in length. Their secondary structure includes four short double-helical elements and three loops (D, anti-codon, and T loops). Further hydrogen bonds mediate the characteristic L-shaped molecular structure. tRNAs have two regions of fundamental functional importance: the anti-codon, which is responsible for specific mRNA codon recognition, and the 3' end, to which the tRNAs corresponding amino acid is attached (by aminoacyl-tRNA synthetases). tRNAs cope with the degeneracy of the genetic code in two manners: having more than one tRNA (with a specific anti-codon) for a particular amino acid; and 'wobble' base-pairing, i.e. permitting non-standard base-pairing at the 3rd anti-codon position. RNAcentral also lists the same sequence under 1 other name. The record is from RNAcentral.